This 512-nucleotide long non-coding RNA is filed under the name Elaeis guineensis (African oil palm). RNAcentral describes it as "long non-coding RNA (EGUI_LNC067195)". The record is from RNAcentral. Lineage: Eukaryota; Viridiplantae; Streptophyta; Magnoliopsida; Arecales; Arecaceae.
CUCCCUUAUCCAUCUUUCCUUGCAUCUUUUUGCUUAUUAUAAAUACAGUUUUAUUUUCUAUAAAAAAAACUAAUUGUUAAUGUAUUCUUCUAUAUGUAAGGCUACUUGAUCUUAAAUAAAUAAGGCGACAAUAAAUUAGUUGUUUAACCUUUCUUUUUGGAAUGGAUGGGUACAUGAAUUAGAUGCAAUGAACUGUCUUAUGUCUUCUUUUGAUCGGAGAUUUCAUGUUGAAACAUUACUCUUCCAAAUAUAUUUCUCUAAUUCUAUCAAAAAAAAAAUAUUUCUUCAAGAGUUUGACAUAAUCUAAUAGUUUUUUGUUAUGACUCUGCCUACAAUAUACGUGUGAGUACCCCAAAUAUACAUGUAUCCGAUAUGAUAGCAUCCAUUUAGUUAAUCUUUUCUUCUUUUCCUAGAAAGACUGAAGAAUAGAUUCUGGUCCCAACUUAAUAUCACGUGCAUCGCACAUGACACGGACUAAUUGCCCUCUAAAAUGCUAGUAUUCUUGUCGCCUC